RNAcentral lists this unclassified non-coding RNA (1007 nucleotides) under Hevea brasiliensis (rubber tree). The record is from RNAcentral. Lineage: Eukaryota; Viridiplantae; Streptophyta; Magnoliopsida; Malpighiales; Euphorbiaceae.
GAAAAAUAUGGAGAACAGGUACGCGUAGUUGAAGUUCCUGGCGUGUCGAUGGAAUUAUGUGGUGGCACCCAUGUCAGCAAUACUGCUGAGAUACGUGGCUUCAAAAUCAUAUCAGAGCAGGGCAUUGCAUCGGGAAUAAGGCGAAUUGAAGCUGUAGCUGGAGAUGCUUUCAUUGAGUAUGUCCUUACAAGAGAUAACUACAUGAAGCAGCUAUGCUCCACUCUCAAAGUAAAAGCAGAAGAAGUAACUGGCAGGGUAGACGGGCUUUUGGAAGAAUUACGAUUGACAAGAAAUGAAGUUUCAGCUGCUCGGGCAAAAGCAGCAAUCUAUAAGGCAUCAACACUUGCUAGCAGAGCGUUUACUAUUGGAACUUCAAAAAGUAUUAGGCUCCUAGUUGAGUUCAUGGAUGAUAUUGAUGCCGAUUCACUUAAGAGUGCUGCAGAAUAUCUGGUGGAUUCUUUGAAGGAUCCAGCAGCUGUGGUUCUAGGAUCAUGCCCAGGAGAAGGAAAAGUUAGCCUUGUUGUUGCUCUAACACCAGGAGUUGUUAAUCUCGGAAUUAAAGCCGGUGAAGUUAUAAAGCCUCUAGCUAAAUCAUGUGGUGGAGGAGGGGGUGGUCGGCCUAAUUUCGCUCAAGCAGGUGGGAGGAAACCAGAGAACUUGCUAGGCGCUCUUGAAGAAGCUCGUGAACAGCUUAAAAAUCUGCUUGAAAAAUGAUGUCUAAUGAUAGCAUCAUGAGUUUUCAGUUGGUGAAGCAGAAUUGAAGUCCUUACUUAUCGAUGUUUGAAGUAAGUAUCUCUUGCCACAUAUGAUGCAAGACGUCUGCUUCCAUCACAACAUUUCUACACAACUGGUUCAGAUUCUCUCCUUUCUUUUAUUUGAUCCUUAGUUUUUCUUUCUCAUUUGUGUGGUUAGCUGCUCUAGGUAGGAGAGGGAGGGAGUGUUGUAAAUGGGGUUCUAUACAGCAUCAACCAAUACAGUUGCAGAAACUUCAUAUUAUCUUUGUACAA